CUUUUUUUUUUCUUUCAAAAUCUACACAAAACUUAAAUUCUAAACUAAAGAAAAAGUUCGAAAGGGUGUGUGUCGAAUCCGUUUAUGUAGUAAAUUGAACAAUUAUUCUUUAAGUAUUGGACAUAAAUAUUACUUUUAGAGUCUUGUAAUAGUUAUGGUAAAAGUUGCUUAGACUCCAAACCCACAAGUAGGCUAGGUUAACAUUGAUAAUAAUGUCCACUCAACCACAUAAAUAUGUCAAUUUCAAUCUAUUGCUUCCUUUUUCAAUGUUUUAAAUCGACUCUCUUUAUUUAGCUUUUAGUUUUUCCAAACAUUUUUACUUAGUAUGGGAUCCAUAAAAUAUAUUUUUGCGUCAUUGAUAGUUAUUAUAUCUUAUGUUUUUGAUGGAAGUUUUGCAGAAUUAUUAGUUAUGAAUCUAGACCAUAUCCCUACCUUUCGAAUAUAUUACCCAAUUGCCAUUUAUUAAUCUUUUAGAUUAAACUAAUUUUUCAAAAUAUAAUUAUUCAUUUGACUAACAUCAUUAAACUAAAUGUGAGUUAGGCUUUCAAACACUCAUAGUGAAAUAUAUUUAGAGGACUUAAUAUUUGAACCUUGUAGUUAUUUAAUUUAAAAUCUUAUAUAUAUAUCAAGUUUGAACUUCAUAUCUAAUAAUUUGGCUUCUACUUUGACAUAAUUUUAAAUUCAAUCAUUAAUUUGUAAGUUGAACUUGAUAUCACUACUUGCAUUACUUUUGGAUUUAAAUUUCAAAAAACCUGAUCGAAAAUAUAAAUUUUAACGUACGUUGUUUUUAAUUGUCAAGAAGUUAAAAAACUUACAUUAAUUUCUUAAGUUUAUUUUGUAAUUGAUUUUAGUUACGUUGGAUACUCAAUAACCUAUAAAUAGUUUCCAUAGCUUCUUGUCUAGAAUACCAAAUAAAAAUAUAUACUUCAUUACAUUCUUUUCAUACAGUAAGAAUAAGUCGGUAAAUUCCAAGCAUAAGAAAAAAAUAUGGCUAAUCUAAGCUCCCAUGUUAGUGCGCUAUUCAUUGUUGUAGCAUAGGUGUGUGCGUUUGUUCCUGCAUUUUCAGUAGAAGAAGCUGAAGCAAAAACAUUAUGGGACACUUGUCUGGUUAAAAUCACUCCUAAGUGUGCAUUGAAUAUAAUCGCUGUUGUUUUUGGAAACGGAACCCUCAUUGAGUCUUGUUGCCACGAUCUUGUCCAAGAAGGAAAAGUGUGUCACGAUAAUCUCAUUAAAUAUAUUGCUGACAGACCAUCAUUAGUUGGCCGUGAAACACAAUACUUGAAGAAGAGGGAUGACGUGUGGAGUCAUUGUGUCUCAAUCUCUAAAACUGCUUAAAGUAUGUGUUUUUAAAAUAUUAUUUUAACCGGAUAUAUUGAUAUUUCAAACUUGUUACAUUUUUGUUACCAUAAAUUAAUUUCUACGUAUGUACUUUAAUACGAAAUAAAUUAAAGCAAUUUCUCGUAAGAUGAGUAAACUUCUAUUUUUCGA
RNA transcript from Arabidopsis lyrata subsp. lyrata, 1488 nucleotides. RefSeq lists it as uncharacterized. NCBI's taxonomy places the organism in Eukaryota, Viridiplantae, Streptophyta, Magnoliopsida, Brassicales, Brassicaceae. The record is from RefSeq and is a predicted model, not a curated record. The transcript has a single exon.